Molecule: transfer RNA, 83 nt
Filed under: Patescibacteria group bacterium
Lineage: Bacteria
Description: tRNA-Tyr
Rfam family: tRNA
About the family: Transfer RNA (tRNA) molecules are approximately 80 nucleotides in length. Their secondary structure includes four short double-helical elements and three loops (D, anti-codon, and T loops).
Source: RNAcentral
GCUGGGAUGGCGGAGCAGUCAAACGCGCCGGUCUGUAAAACCGGAGCCGCAAGGCUACAUAGGUGCAAAUCCUAUUCCCAGCA